Molecule: long non-coding RNA, 1643 nt
Organism: Stomoxys calcitrans (stable fly)
Lineage: Eukaryota; Metazoa; Arthropoda; Insecta; Diptera; Muscidae
Exons: 2
Source: RefSeq, a predicted model, not a curated record
AUGAAAUUUUUAAAAUUGAAAAAAUCUGCGGUUGACUAAUUCUGGUUAUCUCUCUCCAAUAGGCAUAAUCAAUGAAAUUGCUGACAACGACCCUUACGAGCUACCGCAAUUCUACGUCAAAACGUCUGGUUCACACAGAGGCUGAUACUACAAAACAAAUAAAUAAUAACAGCAUACUAAUAAUGCUGAUCUUUCAUAAUAGCAGACUCAUAAGUUAUAGAACAAGUGGCAUGUAUAUGUAAGUAUAUGUGUGUCCUGUCCUGGUCCAAUAAAUGCAAGAAUUUCCUGACCGCUUGUCGCUGUGCUGGCAUGGUGGCGUAUGCGCGGCUAGUGCCCGCCGGAUGGGGUGGUUCUUUGCGCAAGCGUGUCACAUGAGCAGGAACAAAAAGUUUUACAUGCCAGGCUUACUAUGUAAAAGAAAAGGGAUGUUUGGCCCGAAAAAGAAACUACUAACCUAAGAUGUCUAAAUAAAAAUGAGGAAGCACCACACCUACCUUUUGGAAGCCUUCUCGCCUGGUGUUCUGGCGAGGAUAAUGCCCUCCCUCUGGAGUCGGAGCUCCACCAUAGCAACUUUCAAGUCAGUUGCCCCGUACCUACCUCUUCACCUUAUCACCCCCUUCCCAUCUCCCUCUUCUCAAGAUCUACAUGAUUUCAAUAAAAUUCAUCGUCUUUUCGUAAACGUUACAAACAUUUCAGGUAGUUCCUUUAUUUAUAAAAGAUGGUUAAUUUAUGAUGACCACAUGAAAAAUUCAGAAAAACAAGAGGCAUCAUCCAAAAAUCAUAAUAAAAAAGGAAACUCGAAACAUUAGGUGGGUAUGGCUAGCUUCAAACAGAUCUAAUGGCAUCCCAUCUCUUCUUUCGGGGCUCCUGCCGCUGAGUAAGUUAGGCUGUGCCCACAAUGGCAGCUUACUCCGUCUGUCCGUCUAUGUCCGUCCGAAUAUUGUAAAGUUCAAGGCCUUUACCACGCCCGAAAGGACGGCAUCUUCAAAGUACUAGCUUGGAACAAAGAUCCCUAUGGAGACUUCCUACCUGCCUAGAGAGAGCUCUAUCUAUUGGGGAAGGGUAAAUACCAUAUAAUACUGUGGAUGGUAUAACAAAAAAAAAUAAGUAUCCUAGAUGAAAAAAUGCCUUCCUUUUCAAAAACUAAUUUCUUUUUUUUCUCUUUUUAUUUUUAGAUAAUCUGUACGUCCGUCCGUCCGAAUGUUUAGUGUUAAGUAUAACGAGUUAAGGGUCUAUGUAAGCCGUCACCUGGAGCACUGCGGUCUGCGAGCGCUUUUGAAGGAGGUCCCACGCUGGUGCAGAGGAGAUGAGCCGUUGGCGAGCAGCGUUUUUUUUUUAUUUACUUUUAAUUCAAAAUUUUAGUUUAAGCUUUAGUUAUUUAUUCAGUCUUUUUUUCCUUUUUUUUUAAGUUUAUAAUUAAGUUUCUUUCUUUAGUUUGAAAUUUAUUUUCCAAUAAGUGUUUUUAAUUCAGUUCCUUUUUUUUCACUCUUUAGAGUUAGGUAUUAAUGUAGUUUUAAGAAUAGUUUUUAUGGUAAUUUUAAGGUUAUUUGGUAAUUCAGUUUGUAAGAUGCUUUUUUUUUUGUUUAGCUGUUGCAAUUUCUUUUUUCUUCAGUAAUAAAGGAUUCGAAAUUUUCUAAAUUGGU